This 504-nucleotide ribosomal RNA is filed under the name uncultured bacterium. Its description in RNAcentral is "partial 16S ribosomal RNA". It matches the Rfam family "Bacterial small subunit ribosomal RNA", at positions 28 to 506 of the family's 1533-position model. The record is from RNAcentral.
GACGAACGCUGGCGGCGUGCCUAAUACAUGCAAGUAGAACGCACAGUUUAUACCGUAGCUUGCUACACCAUAGACUGUGAGUUGCGAACGGGUGAGUAACGCGUAGGUAACCUGCCUGGUAGCGGGGGAUAACUAUUGGAAACGAUAGCUAAUACCGCAUAAUAUUGAUUAUUGCAUGAUAAUUGAUUGAAAGCUGCUAUUGCAUCACUACCAGAUGGACCUGCGUUGUAUUAGCUAGUAGGUGAGGUAACGGCUCACCUAGGCGACGAUACAUAGCCGACCUGAGAGGGUGAUCGGCCACACUGGGACUGAGACACGGCCCAGACUCCUGCGGGAGGCAGCAGUAGGGAAUCUUCGGCAAUGGACGAAAGUCUGACCGAGCAACGCCGCGUGAGUGAAGAAGGUUUUCGGAUCGUAAAGCUCUGUUGUAAGAGAAGAACGGGUGUGAGAGUGGAAAGUUCACACUGUGACGGUAUCUUACCAGAAAGGGACGGCUAACUACGU